This 349-nucleotide long non-coding RNA is filed under the name Rosa chinensis. Its description in RNAcentral is "sRNA RchiOBHm_Chr5g0017011". The record is from RNAcentral. Lineage: Eukaryota; Viridiplantae; Streptophyta; Magnoliopsida; Rosales; Rosaceae.
GUCCUUUCCUCUCCUCCUCUCCAUGUCUCGGCGUCUCCUUAGAGAAAAAGUUUGCAGGCUCAGAAAGAUCGCAGUCAUCUGGGUGCUACUUACAUAUGAGCUUUGCUUCCAAUAAAAUGUGUCCCAAUUCGAGUGGCAACGAGAUCUGUAAGUCCUUCACUAUCACUGGCUAGAAACUAUGUUGAGUGACUUAAGUCUACUGUUUCAUAGGAAUUGCUGCUUGUGAUGAAAGAAAUCUUUUAAUGCGAGGUGUUUGUUUAUAAUCUUAUACACUGUGUGCUAUGCCUUAUUGCUUGCAUAUGUGCUUUGCUACCAAUAAAAUGUGUCCCAAUUCAAGUGGCAACGAUCU